RNAcentral lists this long non-coding RNA (756 nucleotides) under Capsicum annuum. Its description in RNAcentral is "long non-coding RNA (CANN_LNC017193)". The record is from RNAcentral. Lineage: Eukaryota; Viridiplantae; Streptophyta; Magnoliopsida; Solanales; Solanaceae.
UAUUUUUUAAUUUUUUCUCUUUUUUAUUUUUUUCUGUUUUUUUCUUUUUAAAUUUUUCUCAAUCUUUAUUUUUGUUUUGUGUCUUUUUUUUAUUUUUUCUAAACCUUUAAUUUUUUGUUUUCUCCCACCAACCUCUAUAUUUUCUUUAUUUUUCUUUGAGUUCUUUAAAUAUUUUUCUUCAUUUUCUUCUUUUUCGUAAUUUUUAUUUUUUUUUCUUUUCUUCGAGUUCUUCCAAUCAAGUUACUCCCCAUGAGCAAGAGUUGGCACUACCACAUUGUAAAGGCAAGACUUAUGACUUUCAAAAAAAAAGUUACGUUUCAUAGACAAGAGUUGACACUAUCACAUUCUGUUUUGAUUUAUGAGAUGUUCUAUAACUCUUACCUUAGAGGCAAGACUAUAACUCUUGCCUUAGAGGCAAGGCUUAGCUCAAGGACUACAACUCUUGUCUUAGAGACAAAACUUAGCUUAAGGACUUUCAAACAACAAAUUAUGCUCCAUGUGCAAGAGUUGACACUAUCAUGUUAUGUUUUUAUUUAUGAGAUGUCCUACAACUCUUGCCUUAGGGGCACGACUUAUCCCAAGAAUUGUUAAACAAGUUACGUAAAUUGGGCAAGAGUCAACACUAACACAUUGUAUUUUUUACGUAUGAAAUAUUUUAUAACUCUUGUCUUAGAGGUACGACUCGGCCUAAGGACCAUCAAACAACAAGAUAUGCCUCAUGGGAAAGAGCUGACAUCACCACAUUGUGUAUUGAUU